This 612-nucleotide unclassified non-coding RNA is filed under the name Hevea brasiliensis (rubber tree). The record is from RNAcentral. Lineage: Eukaryota; Viridiplantae; Streptophyta; Magnoliopsida; Malpighiales; Euphorbiaceae.
GCUUGAGAAUUCAUGUGGUGAUGUUCAAUGGCUGUUACGUGUGUCUACUCCAGCGGAUGAUCGUGAUGAUGAGUAUCUCGGGCUUCCUCCUAUUGCAGCUAAUGAACCAAUUUUGUGUCUGAUAUGGGAACAGAUUGCAAUUUUGUGUACAGGGUCGUUAGAAGAUCGUUCUGAUGCAGCGGCUUCACUUGUAUCAUUGGCUAGGGACAAUGAGCGUUAUGGGAAGUUGAUUAUAGAAGAAGGUGGGGUUACACCAUUGUUGAAAUUGGCUAAAGAAGGGCGAAUGGAGGGUCAGGAGAACGCAUCGAGGGCUAUUGGUCUUCUUGGUAGAGACCCUGAAAGUGUUGAACAAAUUGUAAAUGCUGGUGUUUGUUCUGUGUUUGCUAAGAUUCUAAAAGAUGGGCAUAUGAAAAUUCAGGUUGUAGUGGCUUGGGCAAUUUCAGAAUUGGCUGCAAAUCAUCACAAAUGUCAAGAUCAUUUUGCUCAAGCAAAUACUAUUAGGCUAUUGGUUAGUCAUCUUGCUUUUGAAACAAUUCAAGAACAUAGUAAAUAUGCUAUUGCUACAAAACAUCAGAACAUGUCCAUACACACGGCUGCCAUGGCACAUUCUAA